Molecule: ribosomal RNA, 494 nt
Filed under: uncultured bacterium
Lineage: Bacteria
Description: partial 16S ribosomal RNA
Rfam family: Bacterial small subunit ribosomal RNA
Source: RNAcentral
GACGAACGCUGGCGGCGUGCUUAACACAUGCAAGUCGAACGGUGAAGCGCCUUCCUUUUUGGUGGGUGUGGAUGAGUGGCGAACGGGUGAGUAACACGUGAGUAACCUGCCUCCUUCUUCUGGAUAACCGCAUGAAAGUGUGGCUAAUACGGGAUAUUCUGGGUCUGUCGCAUGAUGGGUCUGGGAAAGAUUUUGUUUCGGUGGGGGAUGGGCUCGCGGCCUAUCAGCUUGUUGGUGGGGUGAUGGCCUACCAAGGCGGUGACGGGUAGCCGGCCUGAGAGGGUGGACGAUCACACUGGGGCUGAGACGCGGACCGGACUCCGACGGGAGGCAGCAGGGGGGGAUAUUGCACGAUGGGCGCAAGGCUGAUGCAGCGACGCCGCGUGAGGGAUGGAGGCCGGCGGGUUGUGAGCCUCUUUCGCCAGUGAAGCAGGCCUGCCGCGUUUGUGGGUGGGUUGACGGUAGCUGGAUAAGAAGCGCCGGCUAACUACGUG